This 558-nucleotide long non-coding RNA is filed under the name Homo sapiens (human). Its description in RNAcentral is "HSALNT0012433". The record is from RNAcentral. Lineage: Eukaryota; Metazoa; Chordata; Mammalia; Primates; Hominidae.
ACUGCGCUUCCGUCGCACAGAGCCUGACGAAGGCUUGGGCUCCCCGCGCGGUGACCGUCGAGGUGACCUGCACCUGGCUCCAUGGCGGAACCGGCCGGCACGGAUUAUUCCCCUCUCGGGAGAGGUCUGCAGCCGGGCCUCAGUGCUUCAGUUCGUGGCCUGGCAUUUUGUGAAGAGUGUCUUCAUCUCUGCAUCCCUAGUGCAACAGAGCAUGACAAAAAUUCAACAAAUAUUUAUUGAAGAGUCUUGAUGUCUUUUGGGAAAGGAACUCUAUGGUUACCUUUACUCUAAGAUUAGAUGGGUGUUACUGAUUCUUACCUCAGAGAAGAGAAUGUCAUGGAGACAAAAUGACCUGCUUAGAGUUCUGCACCCCCCAGCAUGGAGAGCAGAGCGCAAAGAUUUCUUCCGGACUCCCACAUUCCCCUUGGAAUCCAAGAACUGGUCUACUGUCACAACACUUUAGUACCCUCUUGUAAGCCUGUGGACAAAUCCUCUGAUGCCUUGAUACCUCGGUUUUCCCCCACUAUAAAUGGGAAGAUAAAUUCACUAGAAACAGUA